Long non-coding RNA from Zonotrichia leucophrys gambelii, 1318 nucleotides. RefSeq lists it as uncharacterized. Lineage: Eukaryota; Metazoa; Chordata; Aves; Passeriformes; Passerellidae. The transcript is spliced from 3 exons. The record is from RefSeq and is a predicted model, not a curated record.
GCUUGGAGGAGCUGCCUACAAGAAACACCAAGGAGGUUGAAACUAGCAAUAAGGAACCCUUGCCGUGAACUGACAAGAGAACUGUUGCACUAUGAUGGCAACAAUAAUUCACCCUUCACCUGAAAGGGCAUAUCCUAAUUCUGUCCUAAGGGAACGUGUUACCACCAUGCUUGACUUGGAAAUUACCCAUGAAAAGGAGACAGGAUGAAGAUGCUGCUGCAGUUGGAACAUGCUGCAGCCUGAUGUUCUGUGUCCUCCAUACCUGGUAUUGGUCUCUGGAAUACUUGGGAGGUUGAGGUUGGUUUUCAGGGAAGGAUUCUUUCCCCACAAAGUGCUCAGGCACUGCCCAGGCUUCCCAGGGAAUGGUCACGGCCCCAAGGCUGCCAGAGCUCCAGGAGUGCUUGGACACUGCUCUCAGGGAUGCACAGGGUGGGAUGGGAUUGAGGGGUGUCUGUGUAGGGCCAGAGGUUGGACUGGAUGAUCCUGGUGGGUCCCUGAGGAUUCUCUGAACACUGCACUCCUCUCUGGAAGGAGCAAAGCAACCAUGCAGACUGGUUACUGCUGUCAGCAGAGAAUACCAGAACUGUUAAUGACAAAGAGGAGCAAGAAACUCAUUCUUCAGCUUUUCUCCUUUCCAGCAAGUUCAGUCAGAGCAAAUUCUUUGGCAAAAAAAAGGUAACAAAAAGAUCCAAGAAAUCAAACAUAAAUCUGGUAAUCUGCCGAGAGGGGAAGAGAACUGGCAGGCUUUAUGAUUAAGCACACUUGGUGUUAUCCAACAGAUCCAAGAGCAACACACAGCAACUGGACUCUGGACAAGAAAUCUAUUCUACUGCCUGCUCUCAGUAUCGGCUUUUGGAUGCUUUCCUGAGAUGCAAUCCAGCUAGGAAACUGGGACCCUGGAGCAAGGUACUAUAGAAAAUGAGAAGAGCCAAAACAGUGAAACUGGAGUCAACUUCCACUGAGAAGGAUGGGACAAGGACUGGUGGAGCCAUGAUAUGCAAUGAAAACAACUACUUUAAACUCAGAAGAGUGACAAUUCCAAAAAGUUUAAAAGAAUUUUUCAUCUAUUAAUCCUGAAACAUAGAAACAUCUUUUUCUAGUGUACUGUGUGGAAAGCAAACAGUAUUUGUUGUUUGUAUCUGCACACAGAGGGGCUGAGCAAAUAAUAAUGUGACACCAUGGCCACAUUUAGGCUCCAGAUUGCCAAAAUGUGCAGCCAAGUCUUGCUUGCUGAACUAGCUCUUGAAAAGUGUCAAUACAUUCCUAUCCACAUUUAAAUUCCACUUUCAGGACCAUUUUGUUGUUGUACAAGAUGAUA